Molecule: long non-coding RNA, 387 nt
Filed under: Monodelphis domestica (gray short-tailed opossum)
Lineage: Eukaryota; Metazoa; Chordata; Mammalia; Didelphimorphia; Didelphidae
Description: lncRNA (ENSMODG00000041154.1)
Source: RNAcentral
AUGGGUCUGGUGCCCACCAUCCUUUCAGCAAAAUCUGCUUCUUUUUUUGCUGAUUUUACCAAGAAUCACGCUUCCUUCUGGGCAAGGCAAAUGACUCAUUCAAAAGACCUUGCUAGGGCUGGACAAGAAAAUUUGCUAAAUCAAAGCAUAAGACUAAUGACUCAGAUGUCUUCCACUAACCUAACUCUAGACUUUUGUAUGCUUGUAACUAAAUGUCACCAUUAUGAAUUGAUUGUUUUUUUAUGUUUUUUUUUUUGUCAUGGUUAUCGCAAUCUCGGGAUCAGAUUUAUUUUAGAAUUUGUAAGGAUUGAAUACAACACCUGCUCUGAGCCUGUUCCUGCCAAGAGCUCAUGCCUAAAUAGCAUUACUUCAUUUAGUGUUAAAUGA